CAAAACUCGGGCCCUUAUCUUGCGGCACAAAAGCCUGGCAGCCCCGCAAAACUCAUUAUCCCCACUCGGACCCUGGCCGCGGAGAGCAAAGGAAACAUUUCCUCUUCAAAAUAACACCACCGUGCGAGGCUUCUACGCUGAAUGGACGCCUGCGGGAGGUGCCGUGAAUCCUCCUACCUGCUGCUCUGGGGAAUCGUUUCAAGCAGAGCGGAGCUGCUACUGCGGCCAGCGGUGGCUCAGGACACAUGAUGGUGGUCUGACCCCAACUAGCACAGUCACUAUUGAUUACAAUAGUAAUUGAGUAAUCUAGGAAUUUUUUUUUUUUUUAUUAAUCAAGUAUUUUUAUCUUCACUAAUCAUUUUUACUAGCAUUCCACCAGACUUUAGUUUUGUUUUGCACCAAUUACAAAUUUUG
Long non-coding RNA from Pygocentrus nattereri (red-bellied piranha), 414 nucleotides. Lineage: Eukaryota; Metazoa; Chordata; Actinopteri; Characiformes; Serrasalmidae. The record is from Ensembl.